Molecule: non-coding RNA, 483 nt
Organism: Hypomesus transpacificus
Lineage: Eukaryota; Metazoa; Chordata; Actinopteri; Osmeriformes; Osmeridae
Source: the annotation of a RefSeq genome assembly
CUGAGAGGAGCGCUCCUCCUCCCCCGCACAGCUCCGGCAGACUCGGCCGUGUAUUUCUGUGCUGCCAGUACACAGUGAUGUGGCUUGAUGCCACCGCCUCACCAAAACCCUGGUGAGUGUUCAGGCCCCACGGUCCUCCGGGCACCCACAGACCUUGUCCUCCACGCUGGGCAGACCAACCAGGUGACCCUGCAGUGCAGCGUGGGUCCAGGCUUCAGCAUGAGCAGCUACACCAUGCUGUGGUACCGCCAGGCUGGCCCCGGGGCUCCGCUGGAGUACCUCACCAAGGAGUACGAGACUCCCGAGGGCCACCUCCAGCCCUCUAUCGACACGUCCAGCAACAGCUUCACCCUGCGGAUAUCAGAGCUGUCUCCGGAUGACAGCAGCACCUACCUCUGUGCUGCCAGUCACAGUGCUGCCAAGCAGACUGGGAGCCAUGCAAAUACAUCAUGUGAGGCUAAUGACAUUAGAAUGACAUGAAAG